GGGGGUGAUCGGUUUCGACGGUGGUCGUGCUUCGAGGAGAAGCGGGCCGAGGAUGCAGACUUAUCUCGUUAACGAUGUCUGCAAACCAAUAGGUGCCGAUUCCAAGCGCACCGACUUCGCCCUCGCCGCCUGAGCGAGCCCCGAAGUCCGUCAGCCCGGGAUAGCUUCCGACCCGGUUCCUGGCGUCAUCUAGGAAGCCACUGCUCACGUCGCUCGUCAUCGGCGGCGUGGGGACUCUCAGAUGACUGGGCCUGUCAGCAACAUGUCUGCAUGAGAGCUGGGGCCGAGAAAAUCCACUAGCAGACUGCGCCCGGAGAAGUCCUGGAUACGCGUCACCGGACCGGGGUUCGAUUCCCCGCACCUCCACCC
Molecule: transfer-messenger RNA, 369 nt
Filed under: Flavimobilis soli
Lineage: Bacteria; Bacillati; Actinomycetota; Actinomycetes; Micrococcales; Jonesiaceae
Description: Standard tmRNA
Rfam family: transfer-messenger RNA
About the family: Bacterial tmRNA, also known as 10Sa RNA or SsrA, is named for its dual tRNA and mRNA-like properties. Its role is to liberate the mRNA from a stalled ribosome. To accomplish this part of the tmRNA is used as a reading frame that ends in a translation stop signal.
Source: Rfam by way of RNAcentral